This 213-nucleotide small nucleolar RNA is filed under the name Crocodylus porosus (Australian saltwater crocodile). Its description in RNAcentral is "Small nucleolar RNA U3 (ENSCPRG00005000692.1)". It matches the Rfam family "Small nucleolar RNA U3". From Rfam's summary of the family: Small nucleolar RNAs (snoRNAs) are involved in the processing and modification of rRNA in the nucleolus. The record is from Rfam by way of RNAcentral. Lineage: Eukaryota; Metazoa; Chordata; Crocodylia; Crocodylidae.
AAGACUGUGCUUUUAGGGAUCAUUUCUGUAGUUGGUGACUAGAGGGAUGUGUCCAAAAAUGAUUGGUCUUGCUAGCCACAAGGAGAAGUUGUAGUAUUUUCUCCUGAGCAUGAAGCUAGUAGGUAGUGCUGUUUGUGUACAGUUGCUGCUUGCUCUUGAUGACUGCUCUUCUUUCUUUGGGAAGCUAGAGGAUGAAGGUGCAAACUGAGUGGU